Lemur catta (Ring-tailed lemur) is the source of this 403-nucleotide long non-coding RNA. RefSeq lists it as uncharacterized. The record is from RefSeq and is a predicted model, not a curated record. The transcript is spliced from 3 exons. Lineage: Eukaryota; Metazoa; Chordata; Mammalia; Primates; Lemuridae.
UUCAGCAUUAAUCAGCAGGAAACAGUGGAAACUGGCUUUGCAGGGCAUGGAAUGGACUCCUGGGAGGACACGCAGCCCGAGCUCACGGACCUACGAAGAGAGACUUUCUGGCACUGUAUAAUCCUUCCCAAGGCACUUUAGCUAUGUUUCAUCAGGAACCACGAGACUUCAUCAGAACAGGAGGGUCAGAUAUUCUAAGGAUGGUCUGUUCAGCUGGGACAAUACACCUGCGGAUGACAUCGUAUGAGCCGUAGAAUCUCCUUUCUUUGUGAAGAAAAGUGGACAAAUGUUCGACUUCCAAAUCAAGUCUUCGGUGAACUGGUAUAACUUUGCUGGAAAGCAGUUUGUCAAUAUGUAUUUCAAGUCCUAAAAAUAUUUAUACCCCCCCUCAAAUACACACAUA